Molecule: RNase P RNA, 287 nt
Filed under: Cryomorphaceae bacterium MED-G14
Lineage: Bacteria; Pseudomonadati; Bacteroidota; Flavobacteriia; Flavobacteriales; Cryomorphaceae
Description: RNase P RNA component class A
Rfam family: Bacterial RNase P class A
About the family: Ribonuclease P (RNase P) is a ubiquitous endoribonuclease, found in archaea, bacteria and eukarya as well as chloroplasts and mitochondria.
Source: RNAcentral
AUGGCAGACUUCCUUAUCGCUUUUUAAAGAGGAAAGUCCGGACACCAUUGAGUAUCACAGUGGGUAACACCCACCGCUAGUAAUAGUAGGAAUAGUGCAACAGAAAGUAUGUACAGUUCGGCUGUAGUGAAAUCAUGUAAACUCUGUGAGGUGAAACGCCAAGUAAAUCAAUGCUAGAGGAUUACUCAUCCGAAAUUGAAGGGUAGGCGGUUAGAACAUAUUAGUAAUUUUGUGUCAAGAUAAAUGAUAAGGCUAGACAGAAUCCGGCUUACAGGUCUGCCAUUUUU